Molecule: small RNA, 80 nt
Filed under: Streptococcus pneumoniae
Lineage: Bacteria; Bacillati; Bacillota; Bacilli; Lactobacillales; Streptococcaceae
Description: ncRNA of unknown function
Rfam family: Streptococcus sRNA Spd-sr37 (bases 3-69)
Source: RNAcentral
AGCAAUAGAAAUGAUGGUCAAAGCUCAUGGAUGUUGCAGGCUUUUUUGUCCUGCACUUCUUUGUAGUUUUGACUGUUUUU